AACGAACGCUGGCGGCAUGCCUAACACAUGCAAGUCGAACGAAACCUUCUGGUUUAGUGGCUCAUCGGUUCGUAACCCGUUGGAUCCUGCCCUUAGGUUCUGCAUCUCUCCCUGAAAUGGGUGCUAAUACCUGAUACUGUUUCCGGACCAACGAUUUAUCGCCUUUGGAUGUGCCUGCGUUGGAUUAGCUAGUCGGUAUGGUAAAAGCCUAUCAAGGCGACGUUCCAUAGCUGUUCUGAGAGGAUGAACAGCCACAAUGGAGCUGAGACACGGCCCAGAAUGGGACGGGAGGGAGCAGAGGGGAAUAUUGGACAAGGGGCGAAAGACUGAUGAAGCAAUGCCGGGUAAGUGAUGAAGGGCGUAGGGUUGUAAAGCUAGUUUAGACGGGAUGAUAAUGACAGUACCGGGAGAAGAAGCACCGGCUAACUACGUG
RNAcentral lists this ribosomal RNA (433 nucleotides) under uncultured bacterium. RNAcentral describes it as "partial 16S ribosomal RNA". It matches the Rfam family "Bacterial small subunit ribosomal RNA", at positions 29 to 507 of the family's 1533-position model. The record is from RNAcentral.